This is a non-coding RNA of Oryza glaberrima (African rice), 193 nucleotides long. Lineage: Eukaryota; Viridiplantae; Streptophyta; Magnoliopsida; Poales; Poaceae. The record is from Rfam.
AAAAAGGCAAACCGUGAGUUCCCAUGCCAACGUUUGACUGUCCGUCUUAUGUGAAAUUUUUUUAUAGUUAGUAUUUUCAUUGUUGUUAGAUGAUAAAACAUGAUUAAUACUUUAUGCGUGACUUAUUUUUUAAUUUUUUCAAAUAAGACGGACGGUCAAACGUUGGACACGGAAACCAGUGUUUGUCUUUUUU